Mauremys mutica (yellowpond turtle) is the source of this 488-nucleotide long non-coding RNA. RefSeq lists it as uncharacterized. The transcript is spliced from 3 exons. NCBI's taxonomy places the organism in Eukaryota, Metazoa, Chordata, Testudines, Geoemydidae. The record is from RefSeq and is a predicted model, not a curated record.
AAUCACUGAACCUGGUUUCACAUCAUGACAAUAGCGCAUAAUACAAUUCCACAUCUUGAUAUCCAGAAGAUCGGGAGUUGCUGAGUGCUGCAAAAAAGCAGCAAGAAAUACCCUUGGCGAAUGUAGGGGCUUAAUAAGGAGCUACCAGAAAAACAAGUAGGAAAGCAACACAAUGGCUAUAGAUAAGCUACCUCCCAACGAACACUUGAGAGGCAAUUACAAGACAGUGACUGAACUUUUAGCAGUGGAUAUGCUACUUCCAGGCUCCAGUCCAAAUGUACACAGCUGUUUUGGCAAGGCUGGGACCCUAGAGAUCUAAUCGACACUGAACGGUUAAGAGGAUUCUCUGGAAAGAAGUGGGGAAGGAGUAAUGCAUGAGCUGUUUCUGAGGAACUGAGAUGGAACAGAGACAGAUCCUGGCUGUGGCAGCGUCUGAAGCAGUUGUCUUCCGAUAUUUCCUGUCUUUCAAGGAACGGUCAACUUUAAGG